GACGAACGCUGGCGGCGUGCUUAACACAUGCAAGUCGAACGGAAAGGCCCUGCUUUUGUGGGGUGCUCGAGUGGCGAACGGGUGAGUAACACGUGAGUAACCUGCCCUUGACUUUGGGAUAACUUCAGGAAACUGGGGCUAAUACCGGAUUGGAGCUCCUGCUGCAUGGUGGGGGUUGGAAAGUUUCGGCGGUUGGGGAUGGACUCGCGGCUUAUCAGCUUGUUGGUGGGGUAGUGGCUUACCAAGGCUUUGACGGGUAGCCGGCCUGAGAGGGUGACCGGCCACAUUGGGCCUGGGAUACGGCCCAGACUCCUACGGGAGGCAGCAGUGGGGAAUAUUGCACAAUGGGCGGAAGCCUGAUGCAGCAACGCCGCGUGCGGGAUGACGGCCUUCGGGUUGUAAACCGCUUUCGCCUGUGACGAAGCGUGAGUGACGGUAAUGGGUAAAGAAGCACCGGCUAACUACGUG
RNAcentral lists this ribosomal RNA (468 nucleotides) under uncultured bacterium. Its description in RNAcentral is "partial 16S ribosomal RNA". It matches the Rfam family "Bacterial small subunit ribosomal RNA", at positions 28 to 507 of the family's 1533-position model. The record is from RNAcentral.